Molecule: ribosomal RNA, 253 nt
Filed under: uncultured bacterium
Lineage: Bacteria
Description: partial 16S ribosomal RNA
Rfam family: Bacterial small subunit ribosomal RNA
Source: RNAcentral
UACGGGGGGGGCAAGCGAUGUUCGGAAUUACUGGGCGUAAAGGGCUCGUAGGUGGCCAACUAAGUCAGACGUGAAAUCCCUCAGCUUAACUGGGGAACUGCGUCUGAUACUGGAUGGCUUGAGUUUGGGAGAGGGAUGCGGAAUUCCUGGUGUAGCGGUGAAAUGCGUAGAUAUCAGGAGGAACACCUGUGGUGUAGACAGCUUACUGGACCACUUCUGACGCUGAGACACGAAAGCGUGGGUAGCAAACAGG